RNAcentral lists this ribosomal RNA (468 nucleotides) under uncultured bacterium. RNAcentral's name for it is "partial 16S ribosomal RNA". It matches the Rfam family "Bacterial small subunit ribosomal RNA", at positions 28 to 507 of the family's 1533-position model. The record is from RNAcentral.
GACGAACGCUGGCGGCGUGCUUAACACAUGCAAGUCGAACGGAAAGGCCCUGCUUUUGUGGGGUGCUCGAGUGGCGAACGGGUGAGUAACACGUGAGUAACCUGCCCUUGACUUUGGGAUAACUUCAGGAAACUGGGGCUAAUACCGGAUAGGAGCUCCUGCUGCAUGGUGGGGGUUGGAAAGUUUCGGCGGUUGGGGAUGGACUCGCGGCUUAUCAGCUUGUUGGUUGGGUAGUGGCUUACCAAGGCUUUGACGGGUAGCCGGCCUGAGAGGGUGAACGGCCACAUGGGGACUGAGAGACGGCCCAGACUCCUACGGGAGGCAGCAGGGGGGAAUAUUGCACAAUGGGCGGAAGCCUGAUGCAGCAACGCCGCGUGCGGGAUGACGGCCUUCGGGUUGUAAACCGCUUUCGCCUGUGACGAAGCGUGAGUGACGGUAAUGGGUAAAGAAGCACCGGCUAACUACGUG